UUAUAUUUGACUCCUUAAUCUUUUAAAAAUUUUAAUUUUACUAUCCAAGCUUUUAAUUUGUUUGAUUUGAAUUAGUCAAUAUAAAUUUUGAAGUCAAAGUAUUGCUAAUGACUCAAAUCAAACAAAUUGAAAUAAAUUGAGAAGUUAGACGGUAAAAUCAAAAUUUUGAAAAAUUGAAUAGUCAAAUCGAAAGGAUUCAUACUUAUAUUGAGAAAGAGAAAGUCUAUUAUGUAAUAUUUACGUUACAUUAUUAAUAAUCAGCCAAUUAUAUUUUUUAUUUAAAAAUAUAAAAAUAUUUUUUAAUAAUUAUGAUAGUAUGGGUGAAUUUAAAAUGAACGAUCUAAUUGAUUAAAACAAAAUUUUAGAAUGCACUAGUUAUAUGGCAUCCCAAUCAAUCAAAUGAAUUCUUUCGAAUUAAUCCGUCGCAUUAUAAUUAUAAAAAAAAUACUUUUUUUUUAAAAAAGAUAGCAUGCUACCCGCUUUAUUUUUUUUUAAAAAAAAUAAACUUUAGUUGGAAAUAUGAAUCAACUAGGAUUCGAACUUGGGAUCUGGAAUACCAACGUCGGUAUAAAAAAAAUUUUAAAAAAAUGUAAUUAAUCUGUUAUUAUUGAGGUGAUGCAAGGAUGACAAAGUAAACUUUUUCGUUGAUUAGGAGAUGCAAUAUAUUUUUAGACGUUUUCCUGUCUGGUACCCUCGCGAACGAAAAAUUCUAAAAUGCAUAGGGUAUAUUUGUGAGGCGGCAUCCACAGGCAAUCAAAUAGCUUCUUUUGGGAUUAUCUGUCAAUAUUUUUAUUAUAUUUUUUAAAAUAUAAUUAAUUUAUUAUUGAUGAUAUAAUGCAAGUGUGAAAUAAUAGACUUCCGCCUGUUUUGGGGCGAACAAUAAAUUUUUAUCUUAAAAAUAAAAAAAUUUUGAGCUAAAUUAGGGCCCGUUUGGCCUAACUUUUGAAAAAGUGAUUUCUGAAAAAGUGAUUUUGGUUUAGAGAAUUGAUUUUGGUUAAAAGCUGCAGAGCGUUUGGCCGAGUUUAGAUAAAAGCGAUUUUUCAGAAGUGAUUUUCAAAAACUGUUUGGCAUAUAUUUUUUUUGAUGUUUAUAUAAAUUAAUAUUUUUAUUAAAUUUUAUUUUAAAAUAAUUUAAAAUCUAAAUUUAAAUUUGAAUUAAAAUUAAAAUUUUUAAAUUUCAAAAUUGUACAAAAUUAAAAAUGUCACGCCCCGGUUUACUCGUUUUUCCGGCUCGCUGACAGACCCGCCGUAUAUAUAGGUAUUUUUCCUGUAUACGAAGCGAAAAAGUAGAAGUGCCUGUAAUCAUACAAUACUACAAACAGUAGUAUAGAGCAGCUAGGAAAAUAAACCAGAAAUAAAAACUGCGGUUCCAAUACAUACAUGUCAUCCAGGUAUACAAACACUCGCUCAUGCGAGAAAACAACAACUGUAUGUAAAGACCCAAAAACUACAACUACUUGUAGCUGGUGCUCUCUAGCUCUGCGACUCGAUCGGAAGGGCUCUAACUCGCGACGCCCUUGCCACGAUCAAGAUCAGCAACAGCAUUAGCCGANUAAAUGAGCCGAACACGAGCUGAAUUUUUCAGCUCGUUUAAUAAACGAGCCGAACACGAGCUGGGGUCAGCUCGCUCGUGUUCGGCUCGAUAACAGCUCGAAUAGAUAAAAGUCUAAUGGAUAAGAUUUUAUAAAUUUAUUUUUUACAUAUAUUUAAUCUAAUUUUUUUUAAUUUACUGUUCGUUGGCUAGCUCGUGAGCCAGCUCGUGUUCAGCUCGUUAAUAAACGAGCCGAACACGAGCUGAAUUUUUCGGCUCGAUACUUUAACAAGCCAGCUCGUGUUCGGCUCAUUUAAUAAACGAGCCGAACACGAGCCGACCCCAGCUCGCUCGUGUUCGACUCGUUUACACCCCUAGUAACUAGCAAGUGACUUGUGCAAUGCAUGAAAAUUUAAAAUUCAAAAUUUUUUAAAACUCUAG
This 1971-nucleotide long non-coding RNA is filed under the name Ananas comosus (pineapple). RNAcentral's name for it is "long non-coding RNA (ACOM_LNC025634)". Lineage: Eukaryota; Viridiplantae; Streptophyta; Magnoliopsida; Poales; Bromeliaceae. The record is from RNAcentral.